This 439-nucleotide ribosomal RNA is filed under the name uncultured bacterium. Its description in RNAcentral is "partial 16S ribosomal RNA". It matches the Rfam family "Bacterial small subunit ribosomal RNA", at positions 339 to 795 of the family's 1533-position model. The record is from RNAcentral.
CUACGGGGGGCAGCAGUGGGGAAUAUUGCACAAUGGGGGAAACCCUGAUGCAGCGACGCCGCGUGAGUGAAGAAGUAUUUCGGUACGUAAAGCUCUAUCAGCAGGGAAGAAAAUGACGGUACCUGUAGAAUAAGCUCCGGCUAACUACGUGCCAGCAGCCGCGGUAAUACGUAGGGAGCAAGCGUUAUCCGGAUUUAUUGGGUGUAAAGGGUGCGUAGACGGGAAAACAAGUUAGUUGUGAAAUCCCUCAGCUUAACUGAGGAACUGCAACUAAAACUAUUUUUCUUGAGUGCUGGAGAGGAAAGUGGAAUUCCUAGUGUAGCGGUGAAAUGCGUAGAUAUUAGGAGGAACACCAGUGGCGAAGGCGACUUUCUGGACAGUAACUGACGUUGAGGCACGAAAGUGUGGGGAGCAAACAGGAUUAGAUACCCGGGUAGUC